RNAcentral lists this unclassified non-coding RNA (1398 nucleotides) under uncultured Neocallimastigales. RNAcentral's name for it is "partial contains small subunit ribosomal RNA, internal transcribed spacer 1, 5.8S ribosomal RNA, internal transcribed spacer 2, and large subunit ribosomal RNA". The stretch from base 658 to 1398 matches the Rfam family "Eukaryotic large subunit ribosomal RNA", at positions 1 to 631 of the family's 3401-position model. Lineage: Eukaryota; Fungi; Neocallimastigomycota; Neocallimastigomycetes; Neocallimastigales. The record is from RNAcentral.
CUGGAAGUAAAAGUGUAACAAGGUUUCCGUAGGUGAACCUGCGGAAGGAUCAUUAAAAAAUGAGACCUCUGAUUUAAGGGGUCUAUUAAUAAUCCUACCCCUUGUGAAUUUGUUUGUUUUUUAAUUUGUGUCUUUCCCUGUUUUUUGAUGGAGCUUGUUAAAAAGCAAAAUCAAAUGCAGGGGAAUGGCAAAACCUUUUUUAAAAUUAAACAUUUGUAUUCAUUUGUCUAAAAAUUAUUUUUAUAAUAUAAAAACAACUUUUGACAAUGGAUCCCUUGGUUCUCGCAACGAUGAAGAACGCAGCAAAAUGCGAUAAGUAGUGUGAAUUGCAGAAUACGUGAAUCAUCGAAUCUUCGAACGCAUAUUGCACUUUUUUAGUUUACUAAAAAAGUAUGUCUGUUUGAGUAUCAGUAAAAUAUUCUCAUAAAAAAGUUUAUUUUUUUUAUGGUAUGAGUGUUUUACAACGAUAAACAAGUUGUUUCACUUUAAAUUCUUUUGUUUAUCAAAAGAAAAUCAUUAAAAAAACUAAUUUUAAAGAUUUUUUUUAAAAUUGGAUAAAAUUUUCCCGUAAGAAGGAAUAACCUAAACAAUUUUAAAAAAAUUAAAAUUGGUUUGAUUUCUUUUUUGAAAUUAAAGGAAAAAAAGUCAAAAUUAACUUGAUCUCAAAUCAGAUAAGAGUACCCGCUGAACUUAAGCAUAUCAAUAAGCGGAGGAAAAGAAACUAACUAGGAUUCCCUUAGUAACGGCGAGUGAAGCGGGAAGAGCUCAAAUUUGAAAUCUUCAAGGUUCUACCUUGACGAAUUGUAGUUUAUAGAAGUGUUUUCUGUUAGUAGAGUGGCAAAAGUUCUUUGGAAUAGGACAUCAUAGAGGGUGAGAAUCCCGUAUUUGGUCAUUCUUUCUAGCUUUGUGAUACACUUUCAACGAGUCGGAUUGUUUGGGAAUGCAGUCCAAAAUGGGUGGUAAAUUUCAUCUAAAGCUAAAUAUUGGCGAGAGACCGAUAGCGAACAAGUACCGUGAGGGAAAGAUGAAAAGAACUUUGAAAAGAGAGUUAAACAGUACGUGGAAUUGUCAAAAGGGAAGCGUUUGACACCGGUGUUGUUUUUCCGAAAAUCAAUUACGAAUGUUUUGUUUUUAAGAAGUUAUGACUUCAUCGGCUUGCUUCUUUCUUUACGAAACUUUCUUAAUACACUUUUCGGUUAACAAGUCAACAUCAAUUUCUUUUGUUGUAAAAGGGUACGAGGAAGGUGGCUUUCUUUUCGGAGAAAGUGUUUAUAGCCUUGUACCUCUGCAAUCGGAGAGAUUGAGGUCUGCAGCGUAGAUCCUUCGGGGUUAGAUGCUUUUGUGCUAAGCUAUAGCCUUUCAUAGACAACUUGUUGACUAUGAUCAGUCAUGUAGCUU